UACGUAGGGGGCGAGCGUUGCCCGGAAUUACUGGGCGUAAAGAGCUCGUAGGUGGUUUGUCGCGUUGUUCGUGAAAACUCACAGCUUAACUGUGGGCGUGCGGGCGAUACGGGCAGACUUGAGUACUGCAGGGGAGACUGGAAUUCCUGGUGUAGCGGUGAAAUGCGCAGAUAUCAGGAGGAACACCGGUGGCGAAGGCGGUGAUCUGGGCCGACACUGACGCUGUAGAGCGAAAGCGUGGGGAGCGAACAGG
RNAcentral lists this ribosomal RNA (253 nucleotides) under uncultured bacterium. RNAcentral describes it as "partial 16S ribosomal RNA". It matches the Rfam family "Bacterial small subunit ribosomal RNA", at positions 524 to 776 of the family's 1533-position model. The record is from RNAcentral.